AAUCAACGCUGGCGGCGUGCCUCAGACAUGCAAGUCGAACGAUUAAAGCUCUCUUCGGAGAGUGUAUAGAGUGGCGCACGGGUGAGUAACACGUAAGUAAUCUACCCUCGAGUGGGGAAUAACGUCCGGAAACGGACGCUAAUACCGCAUAAUGCAGCGGCACCGCAAGGUGACAGUUGUUAAAGGAGAAAUUCGCUUGAGGAGGAGCUUGCGGCAGAUUAGCUUGUUGGUAAGGUAACGGCUUACCAAGGCUACGAUCUGUAACCGGUCUUAGAGGACGGUCGGUCACACUGACACUGAAUAACGGGUCAGACUCCUACGGGAGGCAGCAGUCGGGAAUUUUGGGCAAUGGGCGAAAGCCUGACCCAGCAACGCCGCGUGAAGGAUGAAGUAUUUCGGUAUGUAAACUUCGAAAGAAU
Molecule: ribosomal RNA, 419 nt
Filed under: uncultured bacterium
Lineage: Bacteria
Description: bacterial SSU rRNA
Rfam family: Bacterial small subunit ribosomal RNA
Source: RNAcentral